AAAUGUACUUGUUUAAAUUGAUGUCGUUUGUUUCGUAAUAUGCUUGACUGUUAUUUAAAAACUCCGCUGAAUUUGUAUAAAACCAAAAUAAACACUGAUUUUUAGUUAUCAUAAGCUUUCACUCACUUUUACUAACUACUGAUAUCAUUACUCGAGAUAACCUGGUUUUCUUUGUCGUCUUGUCGAAUUGAAAGGAAAUCUGUUCCCUGAUGCAUACUGUUUUACUGAUGUAAUAAAUGGGUUAAAGUCAUGCGUCCACGAAAAUAAUUCAGAAGCAUUGAGUUGCAGUGUCGAGUUCUUAACAUCUCUGUUCGAAAACCCAUUGCUUAUCGGCGUGACUUCCGGACGGAUA
Long non-coding RNA from Hylaeus volcanicus, 352 nucleotides. RefSeq lists it as uncharacterized. The transcript is spliced from 3 exons. The record is from RefSeq and is a predicted model, not a curated record. Lineage: Eukaryota; Metazoa; Arthropoda; Insecta; Hymenoptera; Colletidae.